UUACUUAUUAGCAGAAUGGAUGACUUAAGGUGUUUUGUUUCUUUUCUUCUACUCUUGUACUAGGUUAUCUGUUCCGGUGCCUAUAGUUUGCAGCCCUGCUUGUGAUGUGCCUUUGUAUGAGCAGAACAGUUCUUCUCCGAAAGAACGGCUAUAGCCUUCUCGCUUCUUUCCAGCUUCUAGAAUACAUGCUAGAAGUAUGGGCCACUGCAAGAACUCAUCUUGCUUGAAAGAAGUGCAGCAAUCAUCCAGAUAUAAGAUAAGAUCACAGAUGGCUACAGAGAAGUACAGAUGCUGUUUUCCUACUGUGGUUCCCUGCAAGUGAGGCGGAAUCCCUAAGCCCUGCUCUGCCAUAACCUCAAAGCCAGCUGCUGCCUGCCUGUCCCUCCCCAUCCACCACUACCAAACCCUCCAGGACGCGGCUGAAGGCAGCACGCUGACUGAUCGCCUCGAGCAGGCUGUGGGCUCGCAGCAGCAGCUCGCUGCCUCUGACAUCACUCACGGAGCUCACAUCCCACUCCGAGCUCCUUUCGUUAGUCGGUCCAUCGGUCGGUAGAGGAGGCAGGAGACGCUGCGAAGAAGAUCGGUGAGGAACAGAACGAAACAGGGGGGCUACAUCAUGAAAUUCUUCCCUGCUUAUUACUUGCUGCCUCUUUUUCCUGCACUGGUCUUCAGUGCUAGGUGAGUACAGAGAGCUAU
This is a non-coding RNA of Meleagris gallopavo (turkey), 696 nucleotides long. The record is from RefSeq and is a predicted model, not a curated record. Lineage: Eukaryota; Metazoa; Chordata; Aves; Galliformes; Phasianidae.